UGUUCACUAACUUAUGUUCAGAUUAGUCUGUGAGUAUUUGGAAAAAAGUAAAGAGUUUGACCUCUUUCAACAGUCUCUGAAUGGCAGCAGUAGUGGAUAAGCCAGGAAAUGAAACUUCAGAGAGAACCAUGUUGGAAGGUUACUCCGCACACAAAGCUGGGUCUCCCUCUUGGAAAACUUAGAUGAGCCCCAUGACUAAGAGCAGGUAAAGGUCAAGUGCUCAGAAUGUCAACCAAGGAUUGCUUUUUCUGUGAAACAUUAACUUCUGACAGGAAGAGCACUCAGCACUGACAGCCACAUUGUGGUAAAGUGGCCCCUUCAGGUAAGAGAAGAGUUUUGGUAUAAACGGAAGUUUUAGUGACAGAAGCACUUAGUGUUUUUAUAAUAGACGGACUUUUUUUGAACCUUCUUCUGAUAUAUUUAUCAUGGGUAGAUACUAGAGAGUAAUACAAAACAUGAACUCUUAGUUAUUAAAUCUUUAUUAUUAUAUUUAGAUUGAAAAGACUGAACACAGGACAAAAACUUUCCUCAAAUUACUCACGUUAACUGC
RNAcentral lists this long non-coding RNA (550 nucleotides) under Bos taurus (domestic cattle). Its description in RNAcentral is "long non-coding RNA NONBTAT018000". Lineage: Eukaryota; Metazoa; Chordata; Mammalia; Artiodactyla; Bovidae. The record is from RNAcentral.